AUUGAACGCUGGCGGCGUGCUUAACACAUGCAAGUCGAUCGGUAACGCGGGGGCAACCCUGGCGACGAGAGGCGGACGGGUGAGGAACGCUUGGGAAUCUGCCUAUCAGCGGGGGACAACACGGGGAAACUCGUGCUAAUACCGCAUACGCUCUACGGAGGAAAGCCGGGGACCGCAAGGCCUGGCACUGAUAGAUGAGCCCAAGUCGGAUUAGCUAGUUGGCGGGGUAACGGCCCACCAAGGCGACGAUCCGUAGCUGGUCUGAGAGGACGAUCAGCCACACUGGAACUGAGACACGGUCCAGACUCCUACGGGUGGCUG
This 321-nucleotide ribosomal RNA is filed under the name uncultured Pseudomonadota bacterium. RNAcentral describes it as "bacterial SSU rRNA". It matches the Rfam family "Bacterial small subunit ribosomal RNA", at positions 29 to 351 of the family's 1533-position model. Lineage: Bacteria; Pseudomonadati; Pseudomonadota. The record is from RNAcentral.